Small nuclear RNA from Jaculus jaculus (lesser Egyptian jerboa), 104 nucleotides. NCBI's taxonomy places the organism in Eukaryota, Metazoa, Chordata, Mammalia, Rodentia, Dipodidae. The record is from Ensembl.
GUGCUCUCAUUGGCAGUACAUAUAUUAAAAUUGCAACAAUACAGAGAUUAGCAUGGCGUCUGCACAAGGAUGACAUACAAAUUCAUGAAGUGUUCCAUAUUUUU